This is a long non-coding RNA of Nematostella vectensis (starlet sea anemone), 3060 nucleotides long. RefSeq lists it as uncharacterized. The record is from RefSeq and is a predicted model, not a curated record. The transcript is spliced from 2 exons. Lineage: Eukaryota; Metazoa; Cnidaria; Anthozoa; Actiniaria; Edwardsiidae.
ACAUGAUUGGCUAGAUUACCCUCAUUGUUCUAUUGUAUUCCCGUUCUUCGUCUGUGUUGCAUCAAUCCAAACCAAUCCAAUGUGGUGAAAUCUUCUGAUAGCUUCUACGUGGCUCUGUGAGAAUCACAAUUUCGGUACUUUCGCCAAACUCUGAAGCGUACUGAAGGAUUUCGUCGCUAGCAAACCAACUGAUAAAAGCUGUACCAAACAUCACGUCCAUCGCUUCCUGAUUGGCUAUACAAAGGUAGCACUAUAACGGCUGUUUUGCUACCCUGGUUCCAGAGCCUCGAGCGUCUCUCUCUAUUUAGUGGCCACUUCGCUCGGUACUGUUUUGGUGAACUCGAGAAACAACGAAGCUUGCCUUGAUCUUUUUAUGCAGCGUAAGAUUUGGUUUGUAAGGCAUUACAAAUUUAACGUUUUGUCAGAAAGCACUCCACUCCGCGGUCAAGGAGUUUGAAGGCUCUAUUUAAUCACCAAAAAGUGUUCGAAGGUUAGGUCCACGCUAUGAGGAGUGUAAUGAGCAACACUAAAGAACAGUUCACAAUAAAAAGCACCAGUAAUUCUUACGAGGGCCUACACGUCUUUGACUCCUCCCUUGGUGCUGACGCCUGCUUGACUCAGGUCCAGACCCUCUGUUAACUCGGUUAAAAUAGGAUGCGCAUCCAAAAUUACCUGGAAACAACAAAUCAGAAACACACGUGUCAAGUUAAAUAUCGUUUUUAAAAACAGGUCCAAAACCUGUUACAUUCCGGUCUUACCUGUUUCUUGUCAGCUAGCAUAUCCAUGAGCCCACGCAUCACGUGAUCGUACCCAGGGUACAUGUCGGUGCCGAAUCUGGAUAAUGCACACUGUAUGACGUCAUCGAUGAGAAGAAGGCGAUACCACACGUAAAAUGGCUUGGGAUUCUGAAGCGAUCCCGCUCGCAGCAAAUCUGGGGAGGAUAAGUUUAUUUAUUUAUUUAAAAACGUCGUACCUAUCUUGAAGGGCAGUAUGGUCAUCCAUGGAUGUGAUUGGGCGGUACGAUGAUGGUGUCUUCUGCAAAUAGCCUGAUUUGAGAAUUUGAUGAUUUACAUAUAUCGUUGAUAUACAACAAAAACAGGGUCGGUCCAAGUACGGAACGCUGUGGUAUUCCUGAUGUUACUUGUACUUUAUCAGAGUGGGUGCCAUUGACUGACACAUACUGGGACCUCUUAUUUAGGAAACCAGAUAUUCAAGCCAAUGUUUUUCCCCUGAUGCCAUAAUAAGAAAUAUUGAAAUAUUGAUAGUAUGUUGUUAGAUGAUAUGAGUUUGUUCAGAUGGCUGAGAACAAUGUGUUCCAUGAUCUUGCAGCUGAUACAGGUAAGAUAGAUAGGGCGAUAGUUUUCCGGAAGAUCUUUAGCUGACUUUUUAUGUAUUGGGACGACCAUCGCAUUUAGCCAAAUAGCUGGUAAGGUCCCCUCAUUGUAGCUUUGGUUGAGAAUAAAGCACAGCAUCCCGCCACAUCCUUGCCACACAUGACGUUAAGUGACUUAAAGAUCAUAAGAGUCAUAAGGUUUCACAAUCCCGUAACAAUCCUUGCCACACAUGACGUUAAGUGACGUAAAGAUCAUAAGAGUCAUAAGGUUUCACAAUCCCGUAACAAUCCUUGCCACACAUGACGUUAAGUGACGUUAAGAUCAUAAGAGUCAUAAGGUUUCACAAUCCCGUAACAAUCUUUGCCACACAUGACGUUAAGUGACGUUAAGAUCAUAAGAGUCAUAAGGUUUCACAAUCCCGUAACAAUCCUUGCCACACAUGACGUUAAGUGACGUUAAGAUUAUAAGAGUCAUAAGGUUUCACAAACCGAAACAACCCUUAAAUACAUACAUACACUUUAUUUAUACAAGUACAAGUACAUCAGUUACAAUAUAAAAAUAUAUUUACAUAUCACUGGUUUCCAUGACUUGCCGUGUGUUCGUCUGAUAAGGCAAAAUGAUUAUGAAGAAACGUUUUAAAUUUUGCUUUGGAAUUAGUUUGCAUUUCAUCUGAAAAAUUGUUCCAGAGUUUGGCUCGCAGGUUUCAAAUAGAUUUGUCAGAUAAGAAGGAAAGAGAUUAUUUAGAGUUUUGAACAUUGCCACUCCCAGGUGUUUGGACCUUCUUGUAGAGACAUCGUCCCAAUCAAGAAGGCGCCUGAGAGUGGCAGAUCUAGUGUCGAAAUUCGAUUUGGUAAUUAUUCUUGCCGAACGAUUUUGUAAUUUUUGUAAUUUGUCGUAAAGCUUGGAGCUAAUGUCGUGCCAAACAGGUCUGCAGUAGUCAAAGUGUGGCUCUAUCAACGCCUUAUAAAUGGUACAUGCAGUUCCCCUUGAUACGAAAGGACGCACUCGUUCAAGGGCGCCGAUCCCACUUGAAAGUUUCUUAGAUUUUUCGUCUAUGUGCUUUUCCCAGCUUAAAUUCUUGUCAAUAUGCAAACCUGAGGAUUUCGUGUUUUCAACUCUAGAUAUUUCAUUGUUUUCGAUCCUUAUUGAUAUAUUCACUCCACCGGCUCUGGCCUUCAGCCUCUGCCUCGAACCGAUGAUCAUGAAUUCUGUUUUAGUUAUGUUUAAACUAAGCUUAUUUGCCAAUAGCCAUUUGUGUAAUUUCGAUAAUUCUGAAUUAAUUUUACACUCGAGUUCAACAAGGUUCGAAGCCGAAAAGGUAAUUAUUGUAUCAUCGGCAUACAUUCGAGGGAGGGAGCUGUGAAGACAGUGAGGGAGAUCAUUAAUAUAGAUAAGGAACAGAAGUGGGCCAAUUAUUGAGCCUUGAGGUACGCCGCAUGUUAGGGUGUGGCUACCAGAAAGGUGGCCAUUGACCCGACACUUCUGUUUCCUGUCUGUUAAAUAUGAUCUGAACCACUUCAGGCUAGUUUUUUUUUUCAAAAUAAUUUCAUGGUCAAUCGUAUCAAAGGCUUUUUUGAGAUCAAUAAAAAUCACUCCAUUAAGAAGACCAUUGUCAAUGUUGACAUACCAGUCAUUGGUAGCUUCUAGUAGGGCCGUUAGAGUACUAUGGAGUGACCUAAAGCCUGACUGAUAAGCUGUUAAUAAUUUGUUUUCGUUAAGGUAGCUG